GAGUUUGAUCCUGGCUCAGAUUGAACGCUGGCGGCAUGCCUUACACAUGCAAGUCGAACGGCAGCAUGAUCUAGCUUGCUAGAUUGAUGGCGAGUGGCGAACGGGUGAGUAAUACAUCGGAACGUGCCCUGUAGUGGGGGAUAACUAGUCGAAAGAUUAGCUAAUACCGCAUACGACCUGAGGGUGAAAGUGGGGGACCGCAAGGCCUCAUGCUAUAGGAGCGGCCGAUGUCCGAUUAGCUAGUUGGUGGGGUAAAGGCCCACCAAGGCGACGAUCAGUAGCUGGUCUGAGAGGACGAUCAGCCACACUGGGACUGAGACACGGCCCAGACUCCUACGGGAGGCAGCAGUGGGGAAUUUUGGACAAUGGGCGAAAGCCUGAUCCAGCAAUGCCGCGUGUGUGAAGAAGGCCUUCGGUUGUAAGUC
Molecule: ribosomal RNA, 425 nt
Filed under: uncultured microorganism
Description: bacterial SSU rRNA
Rfam family: Bacterial small subunit ribosomal RNA
Source: RNAcentral